Non-coding RNA from Protopterus annectens (West African lungfish), 84 nucleotides. Lineage: Eukaryota; Metazoa; Chordata; Ceratodontiformes; Protopteridae. The record is from the annotation of a RefSeq genome assembly.
GCCAGGAUGGCCAAGUGGUCUAAGCUGCCAGAUUACAGUUCUGGUCUCCAUAUGGAGGUGUGGGUUCAAAUCCCACUUCUGACA